RNAcentral lists this ribosomal RNA (467 nucleotides) under uncultured bacterium. Its description in RNAcentral is "partial 16S ribosomal RNA". It matches the Rfam family "Bacterial small subunit ribosomal RNA", at positions 28 to 507 of the family's 1533-position model. The record is from RNAcentral.
GAUGAACGCUGGCGGCGUGCUUAACACAUGCAAGUCGAACGGAAAGGCCCAAGCUUGCUUGGGUACUCGAGUGGCGAACGGGUGAGUAACACGUGGGUGAUCUGCCCUGCACUUCGGGAUAAGCCUGGGAAACUGGGUCUAAUACUGGAUAGGACCACUUCUUGGAUGUUGUGAUGGAAAGUUUUUUCGGUGUGGGAUGAGCUCGCGGCCUAUCAGCUUGUUGGUGGGGUAAUGGCCUACCAAGGCGUCGACGGGUAGCCGGCCUGAGAGGGUGUACGGCCACAUUGGGACUGAGAUACGGCCCAGACUCCUACGGGAGGCAGCAGUGGGGAAUAUUGCACAAUGGGCGCAAGCCUGAUGCAGCGACGCCGCGUGGGGGAUGACGGCCUUCGGGUUGUAAACUCCUUUCGCUAGGGACGAAGCGUUUUGUGACGGUACCUGGAGAAGAAGCACCGGCUAACUACGUG